AAGGAUCAUUCAUAAUAAGUGUUCUACUGCACUUUUUAAAACAAGUACUCACCUUGUGUGCAAUGUUUGUUGUCGCGUCGCUCACGCGUCGCGGCAGCAUAAUACCAACCUUUUAUUUUAAUAAUUUUUGUCUGAAGCUAUUUCGAAUAAAUAAUUCUAAAUACAACUUUCAACAACGGAUCUCUUGGCUCUC
RNAcentral lists this unclassified non-coding RNA (193 nucleotides) under uncultured fungus. RNAcentral describes it as "partial contains 18S rRNA, ITS1, 5.8S rRNA, ITS2 and 28S rRNA". The record is from RNAcentral. Lineage: Eukaryota; Fungi.